GAUGAAGAACGUAGCGAAAUGCGAUAAGUAAUGUGAAUUGCAGAAUUCAGUGAAUCAUCGAAUCUUUGAACGCACAUUGCGCCCGCGAGUAUUCUCGCGGGCAUGUCUGUCCGAGCGUCAUUUCAACCCUCAGGGCCCGCCUGCUUGCAGGCGCGGCGCUGGUGUUGGGGAUCGGCUACCCUGCCGUCCCCCAAAUACAGUGGCGGUCUCGCUGCAGCCUCCCCUGCGUAGUAGCAACACUCGCAUGCGGAGCGCGGCGCGGCCACGCCGUAAAACCCCCGACUUUCUGAACGUUGACCUCGGAUCAGGUAGGAAUACCCGCUGAACUUAAGCAUAUCAAUAAGCGGAGGA
Molecule: unclassified non-coding RNA, 351 nt
Filed under: soil metagenome
Description: partial contains 5.8S ribosomal RNA, internal transcribed spacer 2, and large subunit ribosomal RNA
Rfam family: 5.8S ribosomal RNA (bases 1-120)
Source: RNAcentral